GGUAACACGUAUCCAACCUGCCUCAUACUCGGGGAUAGCCUUUCGAAAGAAAGAUUAAUAUCCGAUAGCAUAUAUUUCCCGCAUGGGUUUUAUAUUAAAGAAAUUCGGUAUGAGAUGGGGAUGCGUUCCAUUAGUUUGUUGGGGGGGUAACGGCCCACCAAGACUACGAUGGAUAGGGGUUCUGAGAGGAAGGUCCCCCACAUUGGAACUGAGACACGGUCCAA
This 224-nucleotide ribosomal RNA is filed under the name uncultured bacterium. RNAcentral describes it as "partial 16S ribosomal RNA". It matches the Rfam family "Bacterial small subunit ribosomal RNA", at positions 109 to 334 of the family's 1533-position model. The record is from RNAcentral.